GGUAACAGAAAUUAGCUUGACGAACGGAGAGGGGGAAAAAACGAAAGGAAAGUCUGAAAAGGUUCACGGUUAAAAACGUAAAAAAGUCACGGAAAACGUCAAAAACUACAAAGGUUUAGCUUCGGUCAAUUGGGGAACUAGGUGCCGUUGUUCGAGGCGGCGUGGUGUGAAAACGGGCCAUUUCAGAAACACUGCUUCUUGUACUACAUCAACUCCACUGGAUUUUACAAAGAAAAACCACUAUACCAUAGAGAGGAGGGACAACCCCGGGAUGCUGUCUCCCACCGCGGACCUAUACCCACUGACUUAUAGAGGUUACUCCUAUCAGAUGAGAGAGGUGCUGCGAGGAAUAUGGUGGCAAAUAAAGGAAGAUUAAAUCAAGAAUGGUGACUUUGAGAUGGAAAAGCGCAUAUGAAGAAAUAUAACCUGAAGCUUUAUUCUGAAUAUUGAACAUAAUUUGGAUGUGGACAUUAUUAUCGAAUGAAUCAAUGAAGACAACACAUAUAGGGAUUUUAUCUGCUUUGGAAACAGGACCGUCCCGGCUGUUUUGAACAGCCCCGAACAGA
This 566-nucleotide long non-coding RNA is filed under the name Neogobius melanostomus (round goby). RNAcentral describes it as "lncRNA (ENSNMLG00000010570.1)". The record is from RNAcentral. Lineage: Eukaryota; Metazoa; Chordata; Actinopteri; Gobiiformes; Gobiidae.